UGACCUGCGGAGGGAUCAUUGCUGGAACGCGCCCCAGGCGCACCCAGAAACCCUUUGUGAACUUAUACCUUACUGUUGCCUCGGCGCAUGCUGGCCCCCUCGGGGCCCCCUGGAGACAGGGAGCAGGCACGCCGGCGGCCAAGUUAACUCUUGUUUUUACACUGAAACUCUGAGAAAAAAACACAAAUGAAUCAAAACUUUCAACAACGGAUCUCUUGGUUCUGGCAUCGAUGAAGAACGCAGCGAAAUGCGAUAAGUAAUGUGAAUUGCAGAAUUCAGUGAAUCAUCGAAUCUUUGAACGCACAUUGCGCCCUCUGGUAUUCCGGAGGGCAUGCCUGUUCGAGCGUCAUUUCAACCCUCAAGCAUUGCUUGGUGUUGGGGCACUGCUUUUAACGAAGCAGGCCCUGAAAUCUAGUGGCGAGCUCGCUAGGACCCCGAGCGUAGUAGUUAAACCCUCGCUUUGGAAGGCCCUGGCGGUGCCCUGCCGUUAAACCCCCAACUUCUGAAAAUUUGACCUCGGAUCAGGUAGGAAUACCCGCUGAACUUAAGCAUAUCAA
Molecule: ribosomal RNA, 557 nt
Filed under: Diaporthe liquidambaris
Lineage: Eukaryota; Fungi; Ascomycota; Sordariomycetes; Diaporthales; Diaporthaceae
Description: eukaryotic LSU rRNA
Rfam family: 5.8S ribosomal RNA (bases 196-349)
Source: RNAcentral